This 254-nucleotide ribosomal RNA is filed under the name uncultured bacterium. RNAcentral describes it as "partial 16S ribosomal RNA". It matches the Rfam family "Bacterial small subunit ribosomal RNA", at positions 524 to 776 of the family's 1533-position model. The record is from RNAcentral.
UACGUAGGGGGCGAGCGUUGUCCGAAGUUACUGGGCGUAAAGCGCGCGUAGGCGGCUUCUUAAGUCUGAGGUGAAAGGUUCAACGCUUAACGUGAACAGUGCCUUGGAUACUGGGGAGCUUGAGUGUGGCAGAGGAUAGUGGAAUUCCUGGUGUAGCGGUGAAAUGCGUAGAGAUCAGGAAGAACACCGGUGGCGAAAGCGCUCUGCUGGACCUUAACUGACACUGAGGGACGAAAGCUAGGGGAGCGAAUGGG